GGAAGCGGAAAGGGCACUGGUGGCCCUCCCGGACUUCAAAUCCGGUGUACCGUCUGAGAAAGGCGGUAGGUGGGUUCGAUUCCCAUGCGCUUCCGCCA
RNAcentral lists this transfer RNA (98 nucleotides) under Thermodesulfatator sp. RNAcentral describes it as "tRNA-Sec". It matches the Rfam family "Selenocysteine transfer RNA". The record is from RNAcentral. Lineage: Bacteria; Pseudomonadati; Thermodesulfobacteriota; Thermodesulfobacteria; Thermodesulfobacteriales; Thermodesulfatatoraceae.